RNAcentral lists this ribosomal RNA (537 nucleotides) under uncultured bacterium. RNAcentral's name for it is "bacterial SSU rRNA". It matches the Rfam family "Bacterial small subunit ribosomal RNA", at positions 67 to 610 of the family's 1533-position model. The record is from RNAcentral.
CUACUGAAAGAGUUUUCGGACGAUGGAAGUAGAGGAAAGUGGCGGACGGGUGAGUAACGCGUGAGGAACCUGCCUUGAAGAGGGGGACAACAGUUGGAAACGACUGCUAAUACCGCAUGAAGCAUAGGGGUCGCAUGAUUCUUAUGCCAAAGAUUUAUCGCUUCAAGAUGGCCUCGCGUCUGAUUAGCUAGUUGGCGGGGUAACGGCCCACCAAGGCGACGAUCAGUAGCCGGACUGAGAGGUUGAACGGCCACAUUGGGACUGAGAUACGGCCCAGACUCCUACGGGAGGCAGCAGUGGGGAAUAUUGGGCAAUGGGCGCAAGCCUGACCCAGCAACGCCGCGUGAAGGAAGAAGGCUUUCGGGUUGUAAACUUCUUUUAAGAGGGAAGAGCAGAAGACGGUACCUCUAGAAUAAGCCACGGCUAACUACGUGCCAGCAGCCGCGGUAAUACGUAGGUGGCAAGCGUUGUCCGGAUUUACUGGGUGUAAAGGGCGUGCAGCCGGGUCUGCAAGUCAGAUGUGAAAUCCAUGGGCUC